This 517-nucleotide ribosomal RNA is filed under the name uncultured bacterium. RNAcentral's name for it is "bacterial SSU rRNA". It matches the Rfam family "Bacterial small subunit ribosomal RNA", at positions 8 to 518 of the family's 1533-position model. The record is from RNAcentral.
AGAGUUUGAUCAUGGCUCAGGAUGAACGCUAGCGACAGGCUUAACACAUGCAAGUCGAGGGGCAGCAUAAAAGUAGCAAUACUUGGUGGCGACCGGCGCACGGGUGAGUAACGCGUAUGCAACCUACCUAUCAGAGGGGAAUAACCCGGCGAAAGUCGGACUAAUACCGCAUAAAACAGGGGCACCGCAUGGUGAUAUUUGUUAAAGAAAUUCGCUGAUAGAUGGGCAUGCGUUCCAUUAGGUAGUUGGUGAGGUAACGGCUCACCAAGCCGACGAUGGAUAGGGGAACUGAGAGGUUGGUCCCCCACACUGGUACUGAGACACGGACCAGACUCCUACGGGAGGCAGCAGUGAGGAAUAUUGGUCAAUGGGCGGGAGCCUGAACCAGCCAAGUCGCGUGAAGGAAGAAGGAUCUAUGGUUCGUAAACUUCUUUUGCAGGGGAAUAAAGUGCAGGACGUGUCCUGUUUUGUAUGUACCCUGAGAAUAAGGAUCGGCUAACUCCGUGCCAGCCGCAGC